AGCGAACGCUGGCGGCAGGCUUAACACAUGCAAGUCGAGCGCCCGUAGCAAUACGGGAGCGGCAGACGGGAGAGUAACACGUGGGAACGCGCCCUUCGGUUCGGAAUAACUCAGGGAAACUUGAGCUAAUACCGGAUACGCCCUAACGGGGAAAGAUUUAUCGCCGAAGGAACGGCCCGCGUCGGAUUAGCUAGUUGGUGAGGUAAUGGCUCACCAAGGCGACGAUCCGUAGCUGGUCUGAGAGGAUGACCAGCCUCACUGGGACUGAGACACGGCCCAGACUCCUACGGGAGGCAGCAGUGGGGAAUAUUGGACAAUGGGCGCAAGCCUGAUCCAGCCAUGCCGCGUGGAUGAUGAAGGCCUUAGGGUUGUAAAGUCCUUUUAACGGGGAAGAUAAUGA
This 400-nucleotide ribosomal RNA is filed under the name uncultured bacterium. RNAcentral describes it as "bacterial SSU rRNA". It matches the Rfam family "Bacterial small subunit ribosomal RNA", at positions 29 to 454 of the family's 1533-position model. The record is from RNAcentral.